AGAGUUUGAUCCUGGCUCAGAUUGAACGCUAGCGGCAUGCUUAACACAUGCAAGUCGAACGGCAGCGCGGGGAGCUUGCUCCCUGGCGGCGAGUGGCGGACGGGUGAGUAACGCGUAGGAAUCUACCUUUGGGUGGGGGAUAACUCGGGGAAACUCGAGCUAAUACCGCAUAAUCUUUAAGAAGCAAAGCGGGGGAUCUUCGGACCUCGUGCCUAAAGAUGAGCCUGCGUGAGAUUAGCUAGUUGGUGGGGUAAAGGCCUACCAAGGCGACGAUCUGUAGCCGGCCUGAGAGGGUGAUCGGCCACACUGGAACUGAGACACGGCCCAGACUCCUACGGGAGGCAGCAGUGGGGAAUAUUGGACAAUGGGGGCAAGCCUGAUCCAGCAAUGCCGCGUGUGUGAAGAAGGCCUUCGGGUUGUAAAGCACUUUCAGUGGGGAGGAAUUACCCAAGGUUAAUAUCCUUGGGAGUUGACGUUACCCACAGAAGAAGCACCGGCUAACUCUGUGCCAGCAGCCGCGGUAAUACAGAGGGUGCGAGCGUUAAUCGGAAUCACUGGGCGUAAAGCGCACGUAGGUGGAUAUUUAAGUCGGAUGUGAAAGCCCUAGGCUCAACCUAGGAAUUGCAUUCGAUACUGGGUAUCUAGAGUAUGGUAGAGGGAAGUGGAAUUUCCGGUGUAGCGGUGAAAUGCGUAGAUAUCGGAAGGAACACCAGUGGCGAAGGCGGCUUCCUGGACCAAUACUGACACUGAGGAGCGAAAGCGUGGGGAGCAAACAGGAUUAGAUACCCUGGUAGUCCACGCCGUCAACGAUGAGAACUAGCUGUUAGGAAGCUUGACUUCUUAGUAGCGAAGCUAACGCGUUAAGUUCUCCGCCUGGGGAGUACGGCCGCAAGGUUAAAACUCAAAUGAAUUGACGGGGGCCCGCACAAGGGUGGAGCAUGGUGGUUUAUUCGAUGCAACGCGAGACCUUACCUACUCUUGACAUCUCGAUCCCUGAGAUGGGGAGUGCCUUCGGACGAUGACAGUGCUGCAUGCUGUCGUCAGCUCUGUCUGGAAUGUUUGGUUAGUCCGUUACGAGGCUACCUUGUCUAUGCCACACCCGUAACGAGCGCAACCCUUGUCCUUAGUUGCCAGCACGUAAUGGUGGGAACUCUAAGGAGACUGCCGGUGAUAAACCGGAGGAAGGUGGGGACGACGUCAAGUCAUCAUGGCCCUUAUGAGUAGGGCUACACACGUGUUACAAUGGGCAGUACAAAGGGUUGCUAAGCCGCAAGGUGGAGCUAAUCCCAGAAAGCUGCUCUCAGUCCGGAUUGGAGUCUGCAACUCGACUCCAUGAAGUUGGAAUCGCUAGUAAUCGCGAAUCAGAACGUCGCGGUGAAUACGUUCCCGGGCCUUGUACACACCGCCCGUCACACCAUGGGAGUAAAUUGUACCAGAAGCGGGUAGGCUAACCUUAGGGAGUCCGCUCACCACGGUAUGGUUCAUGACUGGGGUGAAGUCGUAACAAGGUA
Molecule: ribosomal RNA, 1511 nt
Filed under: uncultured prokaryote
Description: partial 16S ribosomal RNA
Rfam family: Bacterial small subunit ribosomal RNA
Source: RNAcentral